Molecule: ribosomal RNA, 258 nt
Filed under: uncultured bacterium
Lineage: Bacteria
Description: partial small subunit ribosomal RNA
Rfam family: Bacterial small subunit ribosomal RNA
Source: RNAcentral
AGAAUCAACGCUGGCGGCGUGCCUAACACAUGCAAGUCGAACGAGAAAGUGGAGCAAUCCAUGAGUAAAGUGGCGACCGGGUGAGUAACACGUGACUAACCUACCUUCAAGUGGGGGAUAACCUCGGGAAACCGGGCUAAUACCGCAUAACAUCUUUGGAGUGGAAAUUCUGGAGAUCAAAGGAGCAAUUCGCUGGAAGAGGGGGUCGCGGCUGAUUAACUAGUUGGCGGGUAAUGGCCCACAAGGCUUUGAUCGGUA